CGGUAUCGAUAUUGACGCGUGUACGGGCGGCGUUAUGGUGGGAGAGGCACCGCUUUCUGAAAGCGUUCGACGAAGUGUGAAAACUCAUUACAACGUGGCAACAUGGCGAUGGAGUGGGAGGGGUGAAAAGCGUGUUAAACGUGGGAACUGUUGUUGAGUUGGAGAGAAAGUAGUAUGGUGAAGUAUCGAGCGGUGGCAAGGAAUGUACGGCAGAGUAUGUACUGGAGCUGGGAGGGGCGAGCAUAAGGGACGAAGGGAUUAGAAACAUGUCGGAUGCGAUCAUACCAGCACUAAAGCACC
RNAcentral lists this ribosomal RNA (300 nucleotides) under Hordeum secalinum. The record is from RNAcentral. Lineage: Eukaryota; Viridiplantae; Streptophyta; Magnoliopsida; Poales; Poaceae.